Molecule: ribosomal RNA, 465 nt
Filed under: uncultured bacterium
Lineage: Bacteria
Description: bacterial SSU rRNA
Rfam family: Bacterial small subunit ribosomal RNA
Source: RNAcentral
GGACCAGACUCCUACGGGAGGCAGUGAGGAAUAUUGGUCAAUGGACGAGAGUCUGAACCAGCCAAGUAGCGUGAAGGAUGACUGCCCUAUGGGUUGUAAACUUCUUUUAUAUGGGAAUAAAACAGGGUAUGCAUACCCUCUUGUAUGUACCAUAUGAAUAAGGAUCGGCUAACUCCGUGCCAGCAGCCGCGGUAAUACGGAGGAUCCGAGCGUUAUCCGGAUUUAUUGGGUUUAAAGGGUGCGUAGGCGGCAUUAUAAGUUAGUGGUAAAAUAUUGGGGCUUCACCUCACUACGCCAUUAAUACUGUAGAGCUAGAGAACAGACGAGGUAGGCGGAAUAAGUUAAGUAGCGGUGAAAUGCAUAGAUAUAACUUAGAACACCGAUAGCGAAGGCAGCUUACCAGACUGAGUCUGACGCUGAUGCACGAGAGCAUGGGUAGCGAACAGGAUUAGAUACCCGCGUAUA